GUAACAAGGUCUCCGUUGGUGAACCAGCGGAGGGAUCAUUACCGAGUUUACAACUCCCAAACCCCUGUGAACAUACCUUAAUGUUGCCUCGGCGGAUCAGCCCGCGCCCCGUAAAACGGGACGGCCCGCCAGAGGACCCAAACUCUAAUGUUUCUUAUUGUAACUUCUGAGUAAAACAAACAAAUAAAUCAAAACUUUCAACAACGGAUCUCUUGGUUCUGGCAUCGAUGAAGAACGCAGCAAAAUGCGAUAAGUAAUGUGAAUUGCAGAAUUCAGUGAAUCAUCGAAUCUUUGAACGCACAUUGCGCCCGCUGGUAUUCCGGCGGGCAUGCCUGUUCGAGCGUCAUUUCAACCCUCAAGCCCCCGGGUUUGGUGUUGGGGAUCGGCUCUGCCUUCUGGCGGUGCCGCCCCCGAAAUACAUUGGCGGUCUCGCUGCAGCCUCCAUUGCGUAGUAGCUAACACCUCGCAACUGGAACGCGGCGCGGCCAUGCCGUAAAACCCCAACUUCUGAAUGUUGACCUCGGAUCAGGUAGGAAUACCCGCUGAACCUAAGCAUAUCA
RNAcentral lists this unclassified non-coding RNA (560 nucleotides) under Fusarium avenaceum. RNAcentral describes it as "sequence contains 18S rRNA gene, ITS1, 5.8S rRNA gene, ITS2, 28S rRNA gene". The stretch from base 193 to 346 matches the Rfam family "5.8S ribosomal RNA". The record is from RNAcentral. Lineage: Eukaryota; Fungi; Ascomycota; Sordariomycetes; Hypocreales; Nectriaceae.